This is an RNA transcript of Cyanidioschyzon merolae strain 10D, 1516 nucleotides long. RefSeq lists it as hypothetical. The transcript has a single exon. The record is from RefSeq and is a predicted model, not a curated record. Lineage: Eukaryota; Rhodophyta; Bangiophyceae; Cyanidiales; Cyanidiaceae.
AUUCGCGAAUGCGGCGCCAAAGCGCAGUAUCCCAGCGCGUUUGCCCGGAUUCUGGAACAGGCGCGGCUUGUGCUUGCGGCCCCAGGGCUCCCAGCAGGGCAGCGCUCGCCACACAAAGCGACCAGGAGUGGGAGCGUAGGCUCCGAAGCAGCGCAGCAACUGCAUGCUGACGUUGCUCUGCGAGGAGAAUGCCGCUUCCUCGGGUCGGCGCAGAGACGAAUCCUUGCCGCUUCUCCGCGAGGAACGGGAGAUGCUCGGCUGAGCUGCGUCGUAUUUUGCCUAAAAGAAGGAUGGCGAGCAGGUACGCAGUAUCGGCCUCGGUACCGGAGAGCGGCAGAGCGACCACUUGAAGAAGCGUGGGUACCAGGCGCCCUUGCGUCGUCAUGGUUGCGGGGAACGACGACACGAGCAGCAGUCUCCGUAGAGCGAUUUCAAGGAGCUUGAAUAUUUCUUGAAAAGCUCUGCCAGUCCUCAGCGUCUCCGUGAGUAAAGCGAGAAACUUUUCCAAUGCUGUGGCAGGUAUGGUAGUGUUCGUAGACGAGACGCCCAACGAGCGUCCGACGCCCGAAUCAUUAUCGGAAGUUUGCUUCCGUUUUUCCUUCGAGGACGUCGAGGUUGUCUUGUGUUGUGCUUCCGUCUUGUCGUGUUUCGCAUUCAUGCUUGUCGACGCGUGGCAGCCACCACGCUGCCAUAUGGCAUACGGAUCACCGAGACGCUCCAUGGCUCGCUGAUGCAAACGCAGCAGGGGUGCUAUCACCGUUCGGAAGCGGGACCAGUCCGUGCAUUCGGUGAGGCGCUGUACGCCGGCGCUCUUCGGAACAGACGCGAUUGCUGGUGCCGACUCGUUCUCUCCAUGGAUGUCUGCGUGUCGGUAAGGUUGCUGACACCGCCCAGCGGGCGUUGGCCGCUCUCGCCGAGACGCCAGCUCGGUGACGCCUAAAUCGAGGUCGUCAUUACGGAUGGCAGCGCCACCAGGAUGAGCGACCUGGAACGCUCCGAGAUGAUCAAGAUUGGGGCUUGGACUUACGGGCACUCCAGGUGAAUGAUUUUGCGACUCGUGACUCCCAGUUGGUGAGGCUCCAAUCACUUCACCUGCAGCGGCUGCAUCGUCUGCGCCUGCCGAUGUUGAGGCUGCUCGGUGGCGGCGCUGCGCGACAGUGCCCGGUGUCGAGUCCGGCGAUAAGUCCGGGAUCUCGGCGACGUGAAGGAUCGGCCACAUGACGAUGGCGGUUUCAAUGGUCUGCAGCAGCCGAGUUAGGACGCCGCGAUCGGUCUCGUCGAGAGGCUGGUCCCCAACAUCUGCCGGUAUAUCGAGGUGGCUAAGGUCCAUGUAGCUCAGUCGGGCAACAAAAUCGUCGAAGCCUUCCAUAUCGUGUCCAAGCGCGAGUAGGCAAAGCAAACUCGCCGCAUCGUCGUCGAUCCAGUGCGAGCCUGGCCUCAAGGGAGACUCGAUCUCUGGCGCAGAGGGCUUCCAUGUUGCGGUGAAAAAUGUUCGAUAAAAAUGGGUUCGCAAGAU